GUUAAUGAGCAAUCCAAAUGUUUAAUCAAAAAAAAAAAAAAAAACCCCACAAUGGCCUCAGUAUUUGGACCUGAGUGACGAAAACCCUGGUAGCCUUCCAGGGGGAAGCUGUUGGGGGAACUGCACUUGGCGUGGGGAGGCAGGAGCCUGGCUCACAGUGGGUCAGCUCUGAGAUGCUGGAGAUCCCCAAGGGGGCUGAGAAGACAAGUGGGGGCGCCGGAAGCGAACAGGUCAGGCCCUCCAGAUCCAGGACUCGAAUCCAAGCAGGCUUCUGACGGCAGCGUCCCCAGAGAUGCGACCGCCUGGAUCUGUUGGCUCCACCUUCAAGACAUCUCUGGCAUCGGACACCCCCUACCUCCCAAGGCGUCCCCCUGCCCGCCCUUCACAGUCCACCACCCAGCAGCAGCCAGAGGGGCCCCCGUGAAACCGAGCCAGGACGCCCUCCGCUGCUGGGCCGCAGGAGGAUCGAAGCCCAGCCCGGCCCACAGGAACCUUGCCGGUGCCAGAAGACCAGCCUGCAGGCCCGAGGCUGCAGCCUCCCUGGGUGCUCCCGGAGAGGAGGAGAGAGGGCAGCACCAAGGCUGGCUUAGAGGUCCCCCCAGUACCGUCUCCAGCAGCCUCAACCCUGCUGGGGGUCCCCCUCUCAGGGCUGGUUUAUCCCUCCUUCCUGCCCUCCUCAGCUCUCCUGGUCCUUCCAGUGCUCCUGGCUCGGCGAUGCACAUCUCAGGGCACCCCAGCCCCUCCUGUGGGUCUUCCCUGCCUGCUCCAGCCCUCACCACCUGCACGGAGC
Molecule: long non-coding RNA, 790 nt
Filed under: Equus caballus (horse)
Lineage: Eukaryota; Metazoa; Chordata; Mammalia; Perissodactyla; Equidae
Description: lncRNA (ENSECAG00000046976.1)
Source: RNAcentral